UACGGAAGGUCCGGGCGUUAUCCGGAUUUACUGGGUUUAAAGGGAGCGCAGGCGGAGGAUUAAGCGUGACGUGAAAUGUCCCGGCUCAACCGUGGAACUGCGUCGCGAACUGGUUUUCUUGAGUGAGUGCGACGUCGGCGGAAUUCGUGGUGUAGCGGUGAAACGCUUAGAUAUCACGAAGAACCCCGAUUGCGAAGGCAGCCGACGAGUCCUUAACUGACGCUAAAGCUCGAAAGUGCGGGUAUCGAAC
RNAcentral lists this ribosomal RNA (250 nucleotides) under uncultured prokaryote. Its description in RNAcentral is "partial 16S ribosomal RNA". It matches the Rfam family "Bacterial small subunit ribosomal RNA", at positions 524 to 773 of the family's 1533-position model. The record is from RNAcentral.